CUGGAGGUAUCAGAAGUGCGAAUGCUGACAUAAGUAACGAUAAAGCGGGUGAAAAGCCCGCUCGCCGGAAGACCAAGGGUUCCUGUCCAACGUUAAUCGGGGCAGGGUGAGUCGACCCCUAAGGCGAGGCCGAAAGGCGUAGUCGAUGGGAAACGGGUUAAUAUUCCCGUACUUGGUGUUACUGCGAAGGGGGGACGGAGAAGGCUAUGUUGGCCGGGCGACGGUUGUCCCGGUUUAAGCGUGUAGGUGUGUGUUCCAGGUAAAUCCGGUUCACUUUAACACUGAGGCGUGAUGACGAGGCACUACGGUGCUGAAGCAACAAAUGCCCUGCUUCCAGGAAAAGCCUCUAAGCAUCAGGUAACAUCAAAUCGUACCCCAAACCGACACAGGUGGUCAGGUAGAGAAUACCAAGGCGCUUGAGAGAACUCGGGUGAAGGAACUAGGCAAAAUGGUGCCGUAACUUCGGGAGAAGGCACGCUGACACGUAGGUGAAGUGAUUUACUCAUGGAGCUGAAGUCAGUCGAAGAUACCAGCUGGCUGCAACUGUUUAUUAAAAACACAGCACUGUGCAAACACGAAAGUGGACGUAUACGGUGUGACGCCUGCCCGGUGCCGGAAGGUUAAUUGAUGGGGUCAGCGCAAGCGAAGCUCCUGAUCGAAGCCCCGGUAAACGGCGGCCGUAACUAUAACGGUCCUAAGGUAGCGAAAUUCCUUGUCGGGUAAGUUCCGACCUGCACGAAUGGCGUAAUGAUGGCCAGGCUGUCUCCACCCGAGACUCAGUGAAAUUGAACUCGCUGUGAAGAUGCAGUGUACCCGCGGCAAGACGGAAAGACCCCGUGAACCUUUACUAUAGCUUGACACUGAACAUUGAGCCUUGAUGUGUAGGAUAGGUGGGAGGCUUUGAAGUGUGGACGCCAGUCUGCAUGGAGCCGGCCUUGAAAUACCACCCUUUAAUGUUUGAUGUUCUAACGUGGACCCGUGAUCCGGGUUGCGGACAGUGUCUGGUGGGUAGUUUGACUGGGGCGGUCUCCUCCUAAAGAGUAACGGAGGAGCACGAAGGUUGGCUAAUCCUGGUCGGACAUCAGGAGGUUAGUGCAAUGGCAUAAGCCAGCUUGACUGCGAGCGUGACGGCGCGAGCAGGUGCGAAAGCAGGUCAUAGUGAUCCGGUGGUUCUGAAUGGAAGGGCCAUCGCUCAACGGAUAAAAGGUACUCCGGGGAUAACAGGCUGAUACCGCCCAAGAGUUCAUAUCGACGGCGGUGUUUGGCACCUCGAUGUCGGCUCAUCACAUCCUGGGGCUGAAGUAGGUCCCAAGGGUAUGGCUGUUCGCCAUUUAAAGUGGUACGCGAGCUGGGUUUAGAACGUCGUGAGACAGUUCGGUCCCUAUCUGCCGUGGGCGCUGGAGAACUGAGGGGGGCUGCUCCUAGUACGAGAGGACCGGAGUGGACGCAUCACUGGUGUUCGGGUUGUCAUGCCAAUGGCACUGCCCGGUAGCUAAAUGCGGAAGAGAUAAGUGCUGAAAGCAUCUAAGCACGAAACUUGCCCCGAGAUGAGUUC
RNAcentral lists this ribosomal RNA (1555 nucleotides) under Salmonella enterica. RNAcentral describes it as "partial 23S ribosomal RNA". It matches the Rfam family "Bacterial large subunit ribosomal RNA", at positions 1273 to 2811 of the family's 2925-position model. RNAcentral also lists the same sequence under 1 other name. Lineage: Bacteria; Pseudomonadati; Pseudomonadota; Gammaproteobacteria; Enterobacterales; Enterobacteriaceae. The record is from RNAcentral.